ACUUGGAGCCCGAGCUCCCGGGCUGGAGGCGCGCCGGCCCCGGGGACGUCACAGCGCUGGAAUCCGAGGAAUGCCGGCGGCAGGAGCUCCGUGUGCGGCCCGCGAGCAGUCGCGCACUUUUGGUGCGGUGGCUUUGGGAAAUGUUUAAAGGCUGAAAAGGGGCCUUGGAGUCAUUGUCACAGAAGAUGUCCCAGAUUGCUUCAGAGUCCCACGGCUCAACAAAAAUCUGGAUCUCUCGGGGAAGAGAGCUGGAAGCGAACAAGCAAAACCUACUGUGCUCAUCCUGUACAAAUUUGUGGUAUUUGCCGACCGCCAGAGCAACACAGAAGUCAAGAAGCCCCCACACGGCGGCGGAAGGAAAAGGCUGAAGAAAAUUAAAGUCAGUUUCUCAAACUUUCAAGGAGAUAGCGGGAGGGCUUCCGUAAGGACUUGCUGGAUUCCCAAAGAAAAUUUCCGAAUGCUCUGCUCCGCUCCAGGAAGUAUGGAAAGCACCGGAUGUGCACCUGUGUGAUCACCCCCAUUUCCUAGUUGAGGAAAGUGAGGAGUGAGGAAAUCCCCUGGCUCACCACAGCUCCCAACAGCUAGUGAAAUAGGAUAAUGGGCCCUUGGCAGGCCCCCAAAAGGCGACCUCUUAAACUCUUCAAAAUUUCACCCAAAUAGGAUUCACAUUAAAAGUAAGGAAGUCGCUGCAGGCUCUCAAAGUGAUACAGACGAGACGGCUCUUGGGGCCUCAGAGGAAAGGAAGGGACACUUGUGUAUUGUUGCUCUGUGAUACUGAACUCUGAGGGCAGAACGCUAGACAGUGGUGGUAUAGGGAGCAAAGGUGGCACAUAGGCAUCCGAUUCUGGUUCUGCCUCUGACCAGACAGGUGACCCUGAACAAGCCACUUCACCCUUAGGUCUAAGUUUAUUUUUUAAGUGGAGUGUGACAUGGAGGUCAGGGUUUGGUUGAAUUACUUCAUCUCUGAGGUCUUCCCCGGGUCUGCCCUUGAAUGAAUGAGUGCAUGGUCCUCCAGACCGACAGAAUGCUGGUGGAGGAAGCUAAGUGCUAAAGCCAGGGUGUCUUGGGUAGAAGUCUGUUUUUGCACCGCCUUCAGAAUCAAAAUGAAUGUGGGGAAUGUGGCGGAGUGUUCACAGGCAAAAUACACACACACACACACACACACACACACACACACACACACACACAGAGUUAGCACUAAGCCUGCAGACUCCAUUUAAAUACUUUUACUUCUAAAAAUGAAAAAAAAAAAAGUAAUUUAGAAACCCAUGAAGUUCAU
This is a long non-coding RNA of Suricata suricatta (meerkat), 1279 nucleotides long. RefSeq lists it as uncharacterized. The record is from RefSeq and is a predicted model, not a curated record. The transcript has 2 exons. Lineage: Eukaryota; Metazoa; Chordata; Mammalia; Carnivora; Herpestidae.